This 279-nucleotide small RNA is filed under the name Gorilla gorilla gorilla (western lowland gorilla). RNAcentral describes it as "Metazoan signal recognition particle RNA (ENSGGOG00000039955.1)". The record is from RNAcentral. Lineage: Eukaryota; Metazoa; Chordata; Mammalia; Primates; Hominidae.
GCUGGGUGUGGUGGCUCACGCCUGUAAUCCGAGCAUCUAGGCAGCCAAGGUGGGAGGGUUGCUUGAGCCCAGGAGUUCAAGAACCACCUGGGCAAUGUGGCCAGACCCCAUGACUACACAGAUUUUUUAAAUUAGCCAGAUGUGGUGGCACGUGUGUAGUCCCAGCUACUCAGGAGGCUAAGGCAGGGGGACCGACUGAGCCUGGAAUGUUGAGACUGUGAUGAGUCAGGAUCGCAUCAUUGCACUCCAGCCUGGGCAACAGAACCAGACCUCAUCUGU